GUCCAACUGACGUGUUCCAAAUAGGACGAAACGCGCGUUUUGAAU
This is a non-coding RNA of Schistosoma rodhaini, 45 nucleotides long. The record is from Rfam. Lineage: Eukaryota; Metazoa; Platyhelminthes; Trematoda; Strigeidida; Schistosomatidae.